GAUGAACGCUGGCGGCGUGCUUAACACAUGCAAGUCGAACGGGAAAUAUUUCAUUGAGACUUCGGUGGAUUUGAUCUAUUUCUAGUGGCGGACGGGUGAGUAACGCGUGGGUAACCUACCUUAUACAGGGGGAUAACAGUCAGAAAUGGCUGCUAAUACCGCAUAAGCGCACAGAGCUGCAUGGCUCAGUGUGAAAAACUCCGGUGGUAUAAGAUGGACCCGCGUUGGAUUAGCUUGUUGGUGGGGUAACGGCCCACCAAGGCGACGAUCCAUAGCCGGCCUGAGAGGGUGAACGGCCACAUUGGGACUGAGACACGGCCCAGACUCCUACGGGAGGCAGCAGUGGGGAAUAUUGCACAAUGGGGGAAACCCUGAUGCAGCGACGCCGCGUGAAGGAAGAAGUAUCUCGGUAUGUAAACUUCUAUCAGCAGGGAAGAUAGUGACGGUAC
RNAcentral lists this ribosomal RNA (449 nucleotides) under uncultured bacterium. RNAcentral describes it as "bacterial SSU rRNA". It matches the Rfam family "Bacterial small subunit ribosomal RNA", at positions 28 to 478 of the family's 1533-position model. The record is from RNAcentral.